This is a long non-coding RNA of Vicia villosa (hairy vetch), 935 nucleotides long. RefSeq lists it as uncharacterized. The record is from RefSeq and is a predicted model, not a curated record. The transcript has 2 exons. Lineage: Eukaryota; Viridiplantae; Streptophyta; Magnoliopsida; Fabales; Fabaceae.
GCAAAAUGAAGUCGUUUAAGGCAAAUAGCAGUACAAAACAGAAGCAUCAUGAAUAAAGAUUGUGCAACAUCACCUCAGCACCAUGGAGUUCUAGCUAGCUAGCAUCUCCUCAGGGCCUUUCAUCAGUGAGCACAAAAAGAUCUCAGCCAUGGUAUUUGGAAAGAAUGACAACAAGAAAUGCAUAAGCAGACAAUAACAAUAAACAAGCAACUUUAUAUUACAUUCAACUCUAAUCUACUAUGCUAUUUGGUUUUUGUGUCUUCAGCAGAACAAUAAGCUCUGUAUGUUUGGUCGAAUGCAGGGGUUUAGGCUCAAUCAAUAAAGAGUUUCAGUGUGAAACUCUAUUGAUUCAUUGAGAGUGGAGAGCCUUUGGUGAGGUGAGUGAAGAGUUUUUUGAGUUUUUUGUGGUGGCUGCCGAUCUCCCAUUGAAUGAAACAUUCUGCUUUUUGUAGUGUGUAGGUUCGGUUCAGAUUUUAGGUUAUGAUGAAUUCAAACUUGGUUUGGAAUUAUGAAGGGAAAGAUACCAGGUGGACUUUUAUGUGAUAGUUUGUGUUUUUUCCAUUUUCUUGCUACUUCUCUGUUUUUGUCAUCUUGUGCACUUCACACUUUUUCUGAUUUUUGUGUUUGAAUUUGGGCUGCAAAUGAGCUUAAUGGGCCUGUUAUAAACUUUGAAUUUGAAUUCACUUGAUUUUUCUUCUUGCUUGGCAUAUUUGGUAGACUUGUGUUGCUUGUAAGAGAAAACACAUGAUAGAUAAUGGACACCCUCAAGAUAACUUUGGCAAGGACCCUUUGGAGUGAAACUUCAGCUUGAAUUCCUUUAGGUUUCAAGUAAAUUGUAAAGACCUGUGGCUUGUUGUAUCUCGUAACAUUUGAGAAUUUUGCAGCAACUUUGUAAUAAUUUGUCGCAGGUUGAAUGUAAUUAAUUUGAUCCACUA